AGCAGCCGCGGUAAUACGUAGGGUCCAAGCGUUAAUCGGAAUUACUGGGCGCAAAGCGUGCGCAGGCGGUUGUGCAAGACCGAUGUGAAAUCCCCGAGCUUAACUUGGGAAUUGCAUUGGUGACUGCACGGCUAGAGUGUGUCAGAGGGGGGUAGAAUUCCACGUGUAGCAGUGAAAUGCGUAGAGAUGUGGGGGAAUACCGAAGGCGAAGGCAGCCACCUGGGAUCACACAGACACUCAUGCACAAAAGCGUGGAAAAACAAAAG
RNAcentral lists this ribosomal RNA (266 nucleotides) under uncultured Ralstonia sp. Its description in RNAcentral is "partial 16S ribosomal RNA". It matches the Rfam family "Bacterial small subunit ribosomal RNA", at positions 510 to 775 of the family's 1533-position model. Lineage: Bacteria; Pseudomonadati; Pseudomonadota; Betaproteobacteria; Burkholderiales; Burkholderiaceae. The record is from RNAcentral.